GAAAUCUCAUAAAACUGCGGCAACGAGGUGAAGCGGAUUAAGCAAUUCAUGAACAGCAAAGAUGACAGAGAGAAGGAGAGGGAGGAGAAAAACUCCUGAUCAGGAUGCUAUUGACCACAUUACCAUUGGAGAAGACAAAUCUUUCCUGGAAGGAAGAUUUAUUAACACACAUAAAGGUACGUUUUUCAUCCAGUAUAUUUAUGUUUGUUUCUAGUGUAGUCACCUUACAGUAGCUGUAGUUCACUAUGGGGUUUAGAUGCACGCAAAUAAACUCAUCAUUAUCUGAUUUCUGGAGUUAACUGAAUACUAAUUUCUUACUCAUAACAUAAUUAAUUUCUUCAGUGAAUGUCUAUCGAUUCAUCUGGUUUGUUUUUUCCAUCUGUGCUUGAGAAAAAUGUAUAAACGGAUGUAGUUAAAACGCCAGAAGAAAAUGAGCAGUAGCCCUCCAGGAGUAGGGUUGGGCACCACUGGUGUAUACCAACUUGCCACCUACAUGCCAUAUUUUUUACAAGCAUUGUCUUCCUCUAACUCUUUUCAUUGUAUGACUUAUAUUAUAUGAACUGACUGUAAUUGUCAUAACUUUUAAUUAUAUGUAUCUUUAUAUUUAAGUUCUGGAUUGCAUUUGUUUGCAUUUUGUUUAAUUAUUUUUGUAUUGCACAGCACUUAAUUGUUGUCGGUCUUCCUCUCAUUAUCUACUCACCCUCAUGUCGAUGAGAAGUGUAGUUUUUUAAUCUUCUAGUAAAAAAUGUAAUUUACGGCAUGUGAUUAAUCUAAAUCCUCACCAUUACAGGAGAGCUAAAGCCUAGCAAACAUUGCAUGUUCCCCACACACCAGUUCAGACGGUGCAUGUUUGCAAGACUUUAUCUCUCCUUCAACAGUGAGUAUUAAGAUUAAUAACAUGGCAUUAAUUACAUUUUUUCAAGUCAUUGCAUGUGGCAGCUUCAGGAGACUUGGAUGAAGGUCCACAAGCAGUUUGGAAGCAUUUAAAGGUUAUUAGGGGUUGUUUUAUUACGUUUUACAACUGGUCACUGUUUGGAAAAAUACUGCAAACUUUUUUCUUCCCUUCAGUCAGUGUUUUACGGAUUAAAAAACUAUACCAGACUUCUCAUCAGCAUGAAUGAAAUUUCAUUUAAAGUGAACUAUUCCUUGAAUAUCUCUUUGAAAAUACAGCCAUAAAUGAAGUUGGUUAUCUAACAGGAGCUGAUGUUGCUGUUUUCUUUAUUUUCUUCAGGGAGAGGUGUGCUUACACAAGACUACAUUGAACCAAAAAGUUUUGUGGUGGAGUAUCGUGGAGUUUUGUCUCUGAGCGACAGUGCAGAUGACAAAAACAGCAAAUAUGCAUUUGAGUUCAUGUGGAAUGGGAAGCACUAUUGCAUAGAUGCUUCAAAAGAGGACGGAACACUGGGACGACUAGUGAAUGAUGAUCACAUACAUCCCAACUGCAAAGUCAAGAGGAUAAUGGUCAAAGGAAGGCCACACUUGUGUCAAUUUUCCAUCAAGGAAAUCUUUCCAGGCGAGGAGAUAACAUUUAACUAUGGUGAUUCCUCUUGGCCAUGGCUCUCAGUGGUGAGUUAAGGUCCACGGGGUCUCUUAUAAAAUUAACAAAUCAUAGUAUGUUAUUUUUAUUACUGUUAACCAAUAAAUGGCAUUAGUGGACCUGUUAUUGUCCUGAAUAUCAGCCCAGCUGCGAUUUGGUUGUAGAGAUGAGGCCACUGGCAAAGAGCAAGAGCACGAGUGUGAUAUUGCUUA
Long non-coding RNA from Gadus chalcogrammus (walleye pollock), 1749 nucleotides. RefSeq lists it as uncharacterized. The record is from RefSeq and is a predicted model, not a curated record. The transcript has 3 exons. NCBI's taxonomy places the organism in Eukaryota, Metazoa, Chordata, Actinopteri, Gadiformes, Gadidae.